This 391-nucleotide ribosomal RNA is filed under the name uncultured bacterium. RNAcentral describes it as "bacterial SSU rRNA". It matches the Rfam family "Bacterial small subunit ribosomal RNA", at positions 28 to 417 of the family's 1533-position model. The record is from RNAcentral.
GACGAACGCUGGCGGCGUACUUAACACAUGCAAGUCGAGCGGUAAGGCCCUUUCGGGGGGUACACGAGCGGCGAACGGGUGAGUAACACGUGGGUGACCUGCCCUCAGCUCUGGGAUAAGCCUGGGAAACCGGGUCUAAUACUGGAUAUGACUCCAUGACGCAUGUUGUGGGGGUGGAAAGCCUUGUGCGGCUGAGGAUGGGCCCGCGGCCUAUCAGCUUGUUGGUGGGGGUGAUGGCCUACCAAGGCGACGACGGGUAGCCGGCCUGAGAGGGCGACCGGCCACACUGGGACUGAGACACGGCCCAGACUCCUACGGGAGGCAGCAGUGGGGAAUCUUGCGCAAUGGGCGAAAGCCUGACGCAGCGACGCCGCGUGAGGGAUGACGGCCU